RNAcentral lists this ribosomal RNA (462 nucleotides) under uncultured bacterium. RNAcentral's name for it is "partial 16S ribosomal RNA". It matches the Rfam family "Bacterial small subunit ribosomal RNA", at positions 28 to 507 of the family's 1533-position model. The record is from RNAcentral.
GAUAAACGCUGGCGGCGUGCUUAACACAUGCAAGUCGAACGAAGUUUUUCCUUCGGGAGAAACUUAGUGGCGGACGGGUGAGUAACGCGUGGGUAACCUGCCCUGUACAGGGGGACAACAGCUGGAAACGGCUGCUAAUACCGCAUAAGCACUUAGCACUGCAUGGUGCAUAGGGAAAAGGAGCAAUCCGGUACAGGAUGGACCCGCGUCUGAUUAGCCAGUUGGCAGGGUAACGGCCUACCAAAGCGACGAUCAGUAGCCGAUCUGAGAGGAUGUACGGCCACAUUGGGACUGAGACACGGCCCAGACUCCUACGGGAGGCAGCAGUGGGGAAUAUUGCACAAUGGAGGAAACUCUGAUGCAGCGACGCCGCGGGGGUGAAGAAGUAUUUCGGUAUGUAAAACUCUAUCAGCCGGGAAGAAAAUGACGGUACCUGAAUAAGGAACAACGGCUAAAUACGUU